Molecule: ribosomal RNA, 392 nt
Filed under: Deraeocoris claspericapilatus
Lineage: Eukaryota; Metazoa; Arthropoda; Insecta; Hemiptera; Miridae
Description: eukaryotic LSU rRNA
Rfam family: Eukaryotic large subunit ribosomal RNA
Source: RNAcentral
GGGCGUCUCUAUCUCAUUGCGAGAGGAGGCGCACCUAGAGCGUACACGCUGAUACCCGAAAGAUGGUGAACUAUGCCUGGCCAGGACGAAGCCAGGGGAAACCCUGGUGGAGGUCCGCAGCGAUUCUGACGUGCAAAUCGAUCGUCGGAGCUGGGUUUAGGGGCGAAAGACCAAUCGAACCAUCUAGUAGCUGGUUCCCUCUGAAGUUUCCCUCAGGAUAGCUUGCGCUCAAAUUGAAACGAGUCUCAUCCGGUAGAGCGAAUGAUUAGAGGCCUUGGGGUCGAAACGACCUCAACCUAUUCUCAAACUCCAAAUAGAUGAGAACCCCGGCUUUCUUGAACUUUGUUUAUGAAGCCGGGGGCUUGGAUCAGAGUGCCAAGUGGGCCAAUUUU